This 510-nucleotide ribosomal RNA is filed under the name Triticum aestivum (bread wheat). RNAcentral's name for it is "partial small subunit ribosomal RNA". The record is from RNAcentral. Lineage: Eukaryota; Viridiplantae; Streptophyta; Magnoliopsida; Poales; Poaceae.
AUGGCGGUCACUUCUUUGAAGGAUAGAUUUAAAGAACUAAUGGUGUUCAAAGAUAUCUUUGGAUUUUUAUUGAGCUCGGGCACCCUGAAGUCAUUAAGUGAUAAUGAACUUGAAGAGUGUUGCACAAAAUUUGCAGAAACAUUCUCUCUUGAUGGUUCAUCUGAUGUAGAGGUAUAUGAUCUUAUUUCUGAAUUGAAGAUUAUGAGAUUCACUUUGCCAAAUGGCGUAAUGUCUGCCAUGGAGAUUUUUGGGCAUGUUAGAGAAGUUGAUUGUUAUCCGAAUAUCUCCAUUGCUUAUCGCAUCUUAUUUACUGUGCCUGUGACGGUCGCAUCGGCCGAGAGAAGCUUUUCAAAGCUGAAAUUGUUGAAGAAUUAUUUGAGGUCAACAAUGACUCAAGAAAGGUUAAAUGGUUUGGCUACAUUAUGCAUCGAGAAGAAAUUAUUGGAUGAGAUUGACAUCGACCCUAUCAUAAGCGACUUUGCAUCGAGGAAUGUUAGAAGACAUUUUUAA